GACGAACGCUGGCGGCGUGCUUAACACAUGCAAGUCGAGCGGUAAGGCCCUUUCGGGGGUACACGGAGCGGCGAACGGGUGAGUAACACGUGGGUGACCUGCCCUCAGCUCUGGGAUAAGCCUGGGAAACUGGGUCUAAUACUGGAUAUGACUCCACGGUGCAUGUCGUGGGGUGGAAAGCCUUGUGCGGCUGAGGAUGGGCCCGCGGCCUAUCAGCUUGUUGGUGGGGUGAGGCCUACCAAGGCGACGACGGGUAGCCGGCCUGAGAGGGCGACCGGCCACACUGGGACUGAGACACGGCCCAGACUCCUACGGGAGGCAGCAGUGGGGAAUCUUGCGCAAUGGGCGAAAGCCUGACGCAGCGACGCCGCGUGAGGGAUGACGGCC
Molecule: ribosomal RNA, 387 nt
Filed under: uncultured bacterium
Lineage: Bacteria
Description: bacterial SSU rRNA
Rfam family: Bacterial small subunit ribosomal RNA
Source: RNAcentral